RNAcentral lists this ribosomal RNA (253 nucleotides) under uncultured bacterium. RNAcentral describes it as "partial 16S ribosomal RNA". It matches the Rfam family "Bacterial small subunit ribosomal RNA", at positions 524 to 776 of the family's 1533-position model. The record is from RNAcentral.
UACGUAGGGACCGAGCGUUGUCCGGAAUCAUUGGGCGUAAAGAGCGUGUAGGCGGCUAUUUAAGUCCUGCGUGAAAUCCUGCGGCUCAACCGCAGACGGUCGUGGGAAACUGGAUGGCUAGAGUGCGGGAGAGGAGAGUGGAAUUCCUGGUGUAGCGGUGGAAUGCGCAGAUAUCAGGAGGAACACCGAUGGCGAAGGCAGCUCGCUGGGACGGUACUGACGCUGAGGCGCGAAAGCGUGGGGAGCGAACAGG